Molecule: non-coding RNA, 99 nt
Organism: Sphagnurus paluster
Lineage: Eukaryota; Fungi; Basidiomycota; Agaricomycetes; Agaricales; Lyophyllaceae
Source: the annotation of a GenBank genome assembly
CCUUUGAUAGCUCAGCCGGAGGAGCGCGGGACUGUAAUAUGGCGCAAUCUCAUUAUCUCUAUCGUCCCGAGGUCACUGUAUUGACGCCGGUUCAAAGGA